GGUUCGGUGGUGUAGUUGGUUUAUCACGUCAGUCUAACAUCCAAGAUCGUCUGCGAUCGCGGGUUUCACUGAAGGUCGGGAGUUCGAGCCUCCCCUGAAUCA
Molecule: transfer RNA, 102 nt
Filed under: Verticillium alfalfae VaMs.102
Lineage: Eukaryota; Fungi; Ascomycota; Sordariomycetes; Glomerellales; Plectosphaerellaceae
Also listed under: 1 other name
Description: Verticillium albo-atrum VaMs.102 tRNA
Rfam family: tRNA
About the family: Transfer RNA (tRNA) molecules are approximately 80 nucleotides in length.
Source: Rfam by way of RNAcentral